This 429-nucleotide ribosomal RNA is filed under the name Acidobacteriota bacterium. RNAcentral describes it as "Acidobacteria bacterium partial 16S ribosomal RNA". It matches the Rfam family "Bacterial small subunit ribosomal RNA", at positions 355 to 776 of the family's 1533-position model. Lineage: Bacteria; Pseudomonadati; Acidobacteriota. The record is from RNAcentral.
UGGGGAAUUUUGUACAAUGGGGGAAACCCUGAUCCAGCCAUCCCGCGUGUGCGAUGAAGGCCUUCGGGUUGUAAAGCACUUUUGGCAGGAAAGAAACGUCAUGGGUUAAUACCCCGUGAAACUGACGGUACCUGCAGAAUAAGCACCGGCUAACUACGUGCCAGCAGCCGCGGUAAUACGUAGGGUGCAAGCGUUAAUCGGAAUUACUGGGCGUAAAGCGUGCGCAGGCGGUUCGGAAAGAAAGAUGUGAAAUCCCAGAGCUCAACUUUGGAACUGCAUUUUUAACUACCGGGCUAGAGUGUGUCAGAGGGGGGUGGAAUUCCGCGUGUAGCAGUGAAAUGCGUAGAUAUGCGGAGGAACACCGAUGGCGAAGGCAGCCUCCUGGGAUAACACUGACGCUCAUGCACGAAAGCGUGGGGAGCAAACAGG